RNAcentral lists this transfer RNA (95 nucleotides) under Acidobacteriota bacterium. RNAcentral's name for it is "Acidobacteria bacterium (sponge metagenome) tRNA-Ser". Lineage: Bacteria; Pseudomonadati; Acidobacteriota. The record is from RNAcentral.
GGAGAGGUACCGAAGUGGUCGUAACGGGGGCGCCUCGAAAGCGUCUUGUCGGGAAACCGGCACGUGGGUUCGAAUAAACUUCCGCAUUCGCUCCA